RNAcentral lists this ribosomal RNA (648 nucleotides) under uncultured Actinomycetes bacterium. RNAcentral describes it as "bacterial SSU rRNA". It matches the Rfam family "Bacterial small subunit ribosomal RNA", at positions 839 to 1491 of the family's 1533-position model. The record is from RNAcentral. Lineage: Bacteria; Bacillati; Actinomycetota; Actinomycetes.
UUCGGUGUCACACCUAACGGAUUAAGCAUUCCGCCUGGGGAGUACGGCCGCAAGGUUAAAACUCGAAGGAAUUGACGGGGCCCCGCACAAGCAGCGGAGCAUGCGGCUUAAUUCGACGCAACGCGAAGAACCUUACCAAGGCUUGACAUAUACAGGAAUAUGGCAGAGAUGUCAUAGCCGCAAGGUCUGUAUACAGGUGGUGCAUGGUUGUCGUCAGCUCGUGUCGUGAGAUGUUGGGUUAAGUCCCGCAACGAGCGCAACCCUCGUUCUGUGUUGCCAGCAUUUAGUUGGGGACUCACAGGAGACUGCCGGGGUUAACUCGGAGGAAGGUGGGGAUGACGUCAAAUCAUCAUGCCCCUUAUGUCUUGGGCUGCACGCAUGCUACAAUGGCUGGUACAAACGGCUGCGAUACCGCAAGGUGGAGCGAAUCCGAGAAAGCCAGUCUCAGUUCGGAUUGGGGUCUGCAACUCGACCCCAUGAAGUCGGAGUUGCUAGUAAUCGUAGAUCAGCAACGCUACGGUGAAUACGUUCCCGGGGCUUGUACACACCGCCCGUCACAUCACGAAAGUCGGUAACACCCAAAGUCAGUGGCCCAACCGUCAAGGAGGGAGCUGCCAAAGGUGGAUCGGUGAUGGGAUGAAGUCGUAA